AAAGCUUUAAGUGUGUUGGCGUGCUUC
This 27-nucleotide non-coding RNA is filed under the name Homo sapiens (human). Lineage: Eukaryota; Metazoa; Chordata; Mammalia; Primates; Hominidae. The record is from RNAcentral.